CAGUCCUCUCUAAUCAAGUCUAUUUCACUCCACUACAAGAAGUUCGUUGUAAGCAAAAUUAGAAGUUCUUUAAAACAAGAAGUUCUCUAAAUCUACACCUAACAACUAAACCUCAUGCAAGUUAGAAAUAUAACUACUAAACCUUAAGCAUAAUACAUUGGUAUCGCCUAUAUAGAUCCCUCACUUCUAUUGUGUCUUAAAACUUCCAAGAGAUUACGUGCUUUAUGGCUUCUCUAUAUGUGACUUUAGACUUGCCUCGUCCACUCUAACACUUUCCAUCAUCAAAUCAAAUCAUCAUUGCUUCAUCUGGAGGCCUACAUCGGACACGAUCAUACGCCAUCUAAACAACUCUGUUGUUUUAUUUAUGUGAUCUACUUGCACCCAUUAUCAAAAGUGACCAUCUCUAAUCUUAUCAUAUCUUGUAUGACUGCACAUCUAUCUUAAAAUCUAUACUUCUGCGACAUUUAUCCUGUGCCAUGUGUAUGAAAAAGUACAUGUGAUAUCUAAUCCUCUACCCUACCCCCCAAUACAGAUGCUUAGGUUUGAUUCACCAUAUAAUCACACCAUGGAAUUAAUUAUUUCUAUCCCUUUUUUGCAUUUUCCAUAGUUUUGUUAGACUAAAAUUUUUGGAGAAAAUGCUACCGGAUGUGCCUUUAUCUUUUUAUCCAGCAUUUCUCAGUUCCCCUCUAUGUUUGGACUAUCUUUUGUUACUUCUGAGAGAACCUCCAAAUGAUGGAUGGAGAUGAACUUGGGGACAAAAGAUCAAUGGUCCACUUAAUUCAUUUAAAGUAUUCUUGCAGAGAAAAAGGUACUAACUAAGCAUAUCUCAAAUAAAAAUCAUAAACUACUAGCAGAAGUAGAAAUUAAAAGGAAAUCAUAUGAGUCCCGUAAUUUAUAAACCCCUCGAAUACUAACAAGCCACCAAGGAUCCCUUUAGGAUCGUUUGGCCCGUGAGCAAGUUAUACAGGGAUUAUAAUGUGGGAAAUAUAAUACAGGGAUUAAAUGAUGACAAGAUUAUGCAACUUCCAGUGCUGCAGCAGAGCAGGUGCUUCAGCAGGUAAUUAUGCAACUACUUGUGACAAUUAUAUAAUGGAAGCUAUUCAUGCAUGUGUUUUAUUAAAUCUUUGCUAGUUAUUAAGUGGGAUUUUACAUCACAACAAAGGGCAACCUAAGAAGAUAUUUUUUUGUGAAGACAUUUACAUGGGAUUCCGCAAAACGGAGGAGAUAGUUCCCUCCCAAAGCAAUUAGCACAACUUUUGUAUGGGUCGCGGCAUGGGAUUCUACCAUAACAGCUUUGUUAAUGAGAAUGCACAUCAGCUGGUCUUUUGUGUUUGCUGAUACACUACAAACCGACAUCAAACUUAUGUUCUUUUUAAAAUUUAUUACAAUUAGAGGAAGAUAUUACAUAAGUGGGAAUCGAUUCUUCACCGCGGGGCUCACAGCCUCGCACCAUAUGAGCUAUCCUCCAAACAAUCUAUAUUGGCGUACCUAUACUGUGGUUUGACAUGCAUCUGUUGGGAAUAACUUGCCUAAUGACAUGUUUGGCCCUUUCCAUACUGAUUUUUUCCACACCUUGCAUACUGAUUAGAUAAGGUUAAAACCUCCACCCUGCACCCUAGGGUCCCCCACCAACUCAUCCAGUCUGAUUCAGAUUUCACAACACCAUCCAGUCCUCUCUAAUCAAGUCUAUUUCACUCCACUACAAGAAGUUCGUUGUAAGCCAAAUUAGAAGUUCUUUAAAACAAGAAGUUCUCUAAAUCUACACCUAACAACUAAACCUUAUGCAAGUUAGAAAUAUAACUACUAAACCUUAAGCAUAAUACAUUGGGAUCACCUAUAUAGAUCCCUCACUUCUAUUGUGUUGUAAAACU
RNAcentral lists this long non-coding RNA (1871 nucleotides) under Solanum tuberosum (potato). RNAcentral's name for it is "long non-coding RNA (STUB_LNC004935)". Lineage: Eukaryota; Viridiplantae; Streptophyta; Magnoliopsida; Solanales; Solanaceae. The record is from RNAcentral.